UACAGAGGUCUCGAGCGUUGUUCGGAUUCAUUGGGCGUAAAGGGCGCGUAGGCGGCGGGGUAAGUCUGGUGUGAAAUCUCGGAGCUCAACUCCGAAAUUGCACUGGAUACUGCUCUGCUAGAGGGCUGGAGAGGAGAUCGGAAUUCACGGUGUAGCAGUGAAAUGCGUAGAUAUCGUGAGGAAGACCAGUGGCGAAGGCGGAUCUCUGGACAGCUCCUGACGCUGAGGAGCGAAAGCGUGGGGAGCAAACAGG
This 253-nucleotide ribosomal RNA is filed under the name uncultured bacterium. RNAcentral's name for it is "partial 16S ribosomal RNA". It matches the Rfam family "Bacterial small subunit ribosomal RNA", at positions 524 to 776 of the family's 1533-position model. The record is from RNAcentral.